GGCUGCUUCCCUGAAAAGUAAUUACAACCUUCCCAUGCACAAGAUGAUGAACACAGACCUAAGCAGGAUCUUCAAAAGCCCAGAGAUCCAAAGAGCCCUCCGAGCACCACGCAAGAAGAUUCAUCGUAGAGUC
Cricetulus griseus (Chinese hamster) is the source of this 133-nucleotide non-coding RNA. Lineage: Eukaryota; Metazoa; Chordata; Mammalia; Rodentia; Cricetidae. The record is from RefSeq and is a predicted model, not a curated record.